GGGCACUUACACCAUGCCUGAAGGUACACAGAGACCAUGCUUCUAUCCUGAUUUUGAGGGAUUCUCAGAGCACAUUUUAGAGAAGAAUGGCUGACACUCAGUUCAUUCAACCAAGUGGCCCCUGAACAAAACUUGGUUGCCAUGACUCCAGACAAGCACUGUCAGGAUUGGUGCUUCAAAACAGCGAGGGACAGAAAGCCAAGAGCACCAGGAUCCUACACAGCCUAACCCUAGAGAGGCCGCUCGUCAGCAUUUCAUACUGUUUUCAUUAAAACAAGACAUGAUGUGUGUUACGGUCAGCCUGCCGGGGAGUGUGGACAGCAAGAGGUUGAGAAGCUUGGGAACUGUAUCAAAGUGCCCACCACAAAGAUGAGAAAAGAGCUCCACCUGUCAAUGCAUCUAUAAAUCUCUAUUGAAAAUGUAAAAGCAUUACAGUCUAGAAGGAUGGAAUAAUAAAGUGCCUUUCCCAAAGCCCUAGAGAAUCAAAUAAAUUGAAAUGUGCCAAAACUCAGAACUGUGGAAUUGUGUAGCUGAACUCACCCCCCAUUUCCAACCCCUCUUCAAUCCUGGAACUUUUGCUUCCUUCCUGGGAGAUACGGUCUUUUGGGG
RNAcentral lists this long non-coding RNA (609 nucleotides) under Chinchilla lanigera (long-tailed chinchilla). Its description in RNAcentral is "lncRNA (ENSCLAG00000025467.1)". The record is from RNAcentral. Lineage: Eukaryota; Metazoa; Chordata; Mammalia; Rodentia; Chinchillidae.